AUUGAACGCUGGCGGCAUGCCUUACACAUGCAAGUCGAACGGCAGCACGGGAGCAAUCCUGGUGGCGAGUGGCGAACGGGUGAGUAAUAUAUCGGAACGUGCCCAGUCGUGGGGAUAACGUAGCGAAAGCUACGCUAAUACCGCAUACGAUCUAUGGAUGAAAGCGGGGGAUCGCAAGACCUCGCGCGAUUGGAGCGGCCGAUAUCAGAUUAGGUAGUUGGUGAGGUAAAGGCCCACCAAGCCGACGAUCUGUAGCUGGUCUGAGAGGACGACCAGCCACACUGGGACUGAGACACGGCCCAGACUCCUACGGGAGGCAGCAGUGGGGAAUUUUGGACAAUGGGCGCAAGCCUGAUCCAGCAAUGCCGCGUGCAGGAUGAAGGCCUCGGUUGUAACUAGCUUUGUACGGUAACGAAACGGUAGAGC
RNAcentral lists this ribosomal RNA (426 nucleotides) under uncultured bacterium. RNAcentral's name for it is "bacterial SSU rRNA". It matches the Rfam family "Bacterial small subunit ribosomal RNA", at positions 30 to 459 of the family's 1533-position model. The record is from RNAcentral.